GCUGGACUGCCAUAUGGAUAAAAUCUCAUUUAUGUCUCUGUCUUCUUGGCAUAAAACAGGAAGCCAACCUACCCUUCCAAAUCAAAAGUACCAAGGGGCAAGCAAGCUGCUGCAUGGUAUACACCUCUGCUGUGGGUGGCACCCUGACCGCUGGACUGCCAGUCCUGUACUAUUGAUCCAUCUCCCAUGACGUAGGGAACACAUAGGAGAUGUUCACAUGAUAUCAGCUAGAGCUGUUCUUGGUAUGUCAACCCAUGCAUUUGUAUGUGGUAAGUUCUCCAGUUUGAUAUCUUUGCAGCAAGCCAGGGAAUGAAACAAGCAUCUAGGAACACUCAGAACUAAGUUUUGGAACUCUAUAAAAACAGUCCAUGACCUCUACUCAGAGAAAUAUCUUAUUGUAAACCACAUCCCCAAAUAUUCCAAACUGCUUUAUGGAUUUAUACCUAGGUCAAAUCACUUCACCAUAACUGCUGUUACAGCAAAAUUAUGUAAAUAUUGUUUUAGGGGACAGGAAGAAAAAAAGUGUGAUUUCUUAGUAUUUUGUACCUUUUGAUAAAAUGACUGAAUGGGAAGUUCAUCUCAUUCCCUGCAGGAGUUGUCAUUGAGUGACAGUUUUGAAAUCUGCCAUGGAUUACAGACAUGUAUUUAUGUCUUGAAUUCGUCACUUGAAAGACUACUUUGACAGUAAUGGUGAAUGUCACCACAUGUUUUGAAUAGGCAGUUUUUCUUAAUGCUAGAGGAAGAUGAGGUUAGGGAACACUUGCUUUUAAAUGUUUUGAAGGAAUUUGACAUUUACUUCCUAUGCUACUACAUCUCAAUAAAUAUUUUCAACUCAACCA
RNAcentral lists this long non-coding RNA (839 nucleotides) under Anas platyrhynchos platyrhynchos (common mallard). RNAcentral's name for it is "lncRNA (ENSAPLG00000030102.1)". The record is from RNAcentral. Lineage: Eukaryota; Metazoa; Chordata; Aves; Anseriformes; Anatidae.